RNAcentral lists this ribosomal RNA (550 nucleotides) under uncultured bacterium. Its description in RNAcentral is "partial 16S ribosomal RNA". It matches the Rfam family "Bacterial small subunit ribosomal RNA", at positions 355 to 920 of the family's 1533-position model. The record is from RNAcentral.
UGGGGAAUAUUGCACAAUGGGCGAAAGCCUGAUGCAGCAACGCCGCGUGAGUGAUGAAGGCCUUCGGGUUGUAAAGCUCUGUCUUUUGGGACGAUAAUGACGGUACCAAAGGAGGAAGCCACGGCUAACUACGUGCCAGCAGCCGCGGUAAUACGUAGGUGGCAAGCGUUGUCCGGAUUUACUGGGCGUAAAGGAUGCGUAGGCGGAUUUUUAAGUGAGAUGUGAAAUACCCGGGCUUAACUUGGGUGCUGCAUUUCAAACUGGGAAUCUAGAGUGCGGGAGAGGAGAAUGGAAUUCCUAGUGUAGCGGUGAAAUGCGUAGAGAUUAGGAAGAACACCAGUGGCGAAGGCGAUUCUCUGGACCGUAACUGACGCUGAGGCAUGAAAGCGUGGGUAGCAAACAGGAUUAGAUACCCUGGUAGUCCACGCCGUAAACGAUGAGUACUAGGUGUAGGAGGUAUCGACCCCUUCUGUGCCGCAGUUAACACAAUCAAGUACUCCGCCUGGGAAGUACGAUCGCAAGAUUAAAACUCAAAGGAAUUGACGGGGUC